UCUUUAGGCAAUUUGUAAAUAUUGAAUCCAAGAAAUGUCGUCAGUUUGGAAGACUAACUAUUACUGACGUGAACUCAGGGAUAUUUUUGUUUGAUGUCUUCUGAUUUGCAUUUUAAUCUUUACAAUGAUGGUUGCCCGAUGUCCAGUGUUUCUCCGCGAGCCCAGAGCCACUACUAGACCCUGUUUUACUGUGCACCCACCCUCUGCCACUGUCGCUACCCCAGCGCCACCACUAGGCCGCCACCGUGUUGCUCCGGCCAUUCACUCAUCAUCAUCAAUCUUUCCCUUUUUUUCCCCUGUUCCAAUUCCCUGCUUCCCAGGGGGCCAAUAUUCUUGUAGAUAAUAAAGGUUGCAUUAAACUUGCAGAUUUUGGGGCCUCCAAACAAGCUAGUAUUAGAAUGGAUUACUUGAACGUGCACAAAGUGGAGCAGUUUUAGGUUGAUUCUGAUCUUUUACCAAGUAUUUAGGUUGAUGAUCAUCUCUAUUAGUGUAAUUUGAUAUACUAUGAGC
Arachis stenosperma is the source of this 510-nucleotide long non-coding RNA. RefSeq lists it as uncharacterized. The transcript has 3 exons. The record is from RefSeq and is a predicted model, not a curated record. Lineage: Eukaryota; Viridiplantae; Streptophyta; Magnoliopsida; Fabales; Fabaceae.